Molecule: ribosomal RNA, 247 nt
Filed under: uncultured bacterium
Lineage: Bacteria
Description: partial 16S ribosomal RNA
Rfam family: Bacterial small subunit ribosomal RNA
Source: RNAcentral
ACUCCUACGGGAGGCAGCAGUGGGAAUCUUGGACAAUGGGGAAACCCGUGAUCCAGCCAUGCCGCGUGAGCGAUGAAGGCCUUAGGGUUGUAAAGCUCUUUCAGGUGGGAAGAUAAUGACGGUACCACCAGAAGAAGCACCGGCUAACUCCGUUCCAGCAGCCGCGGUAAUACGGAGGGUGCGAGCGUUAAUCGGAAUUACUGGGCGUAAAGCGCGUGUAGGUGGCUUGUUAAGCCAGAUGUGAAAG